CAGUCGCCACGGUAAUACGAAGGGUGCAAGCGUUAAUCGGAAUUACUGGGCGUAAAGCGUGCGUAGGCGGUGAGUUAAGUCUGCUGUGAAAUCCCCGGGCUCAACCUGGGAAUGGCAGUGGAUACUGGCUCGCUAGAGUGUGUCAGAGGAUGGUGGAAUUCCCGGUGUAGCGGUGAAAUGCGUAGAGAUCGGGAGGAACAUCAGUGGCGAAGGCGGCCAUCUGGGACAACACUGACGCUGAGGCACGAAAGCGUGGGGAGCAAACAGGAUUAGAUACCCCCGUAGUCCCUGUCUCUUAUUC
Molecule: ribosomal RNA, 301 nt
Filed under: uncultured bacterium
Lineage: Bacteria
Description: partial 16S ribosomal RNA
Rfam family: Bacterial small subunit ribosomal RNA
Source: RNAcentral